Non-coding RNA from Mus caroli (Ryukyu mouse), 1743 nucleotides. The record is from RefSeq and is a predicted model, not a curated record. Lineage: Eukaryota; Metazoa; Chordata; Mammalia; Rodentia; Muridae.
CCCCAGCCUUCUUCUCCAGAACCCACUUCCACCCAGCAGGCAGCUACAGGUGGCACCCAACGUGGGUCCUGAACAUGGAAGGAACAAUUCGGGGAAACCCUUUCUUGGUGGAGUUCCAAAGAUGGUAUCUGGCACGAUGAUCCCACUAUGACAUUCUCCCUCAACACACACUCAGGGAAACAGGACCAAGGAGCCAUGGAUUCAAGUUUCCAAAAGUCACUGUGAGCCUGAGCUCAAACAGUAGGUGAAAGAAACCAAAGUAAGGAUCCCACAGAGAUACUGAGAGUAAAUAAGAUGAUUUAAGAACUAUGAAGAAACAAGCAAUGACCUAACUGUACCUUAAAGUGUAGAGAACUCGACCAUCAUUCCAAAUUCUCAGCAUCCUGUUGGGAGUGGUGAUCCAGUGAGCAUCAGCCUUUUUGGAGUUCCUGAAGAAAGUGUCUGGAAUCCAGAUUUUCCCCACCAUAUUGCUAUUCAAACGGAGAACUUUAAUGGUACUGUUAAAUUUCAAACGUCUGUCAUACCAGGUUUGGGCAAAAAAAAUAUCAAUUGUAUAUUCCUGUUUUAAAAAGAACAGAAGAUUUAAAAUGUUUAUUUCUUUUUUUAAUCUUGUGCUUACUGCCAGUAUGAGACAGCAUGGAAUAGUGCAACAGGAAACAAUAGCUUUGCUGGAGAGGUCUCUACCUCAACCGUCUUUUACUCCAGUUUCAGACAUCUAUGAGUUCGGGCCAAAUCUCCAAACCCUGGUAACUUCCUUCCUUCAUACACAUACAAAACAAGAAGCCAGACCACUAUUUGCUAGGGAGAAGUAGAGGUGGGCGCUUCCUUAUCCACUGUAGGAUAUUUAGCAUGACCUCUGCCUCUAUAUCCCAGAUACCAAUGUUACCUAAAAGAAUAAUUGUUCCACAUUCACUACUGUAGAGCAAAUUGAAGCCCUAUGCAUCCAAUAUACUUAAAUGGAGUUGUAGGUUCAGCUGCCUUACAAUAAAAGAAAGGCUCUAAAGAUGCCCAAUGGUUACCCCUGUGAAAAUGUAUAAAAUGCUUUGCCCCCUGACAAAUAGCAAAUUCAAAAGACAACAUACUAGAAGUUACGACUGUUUAUUCCACUUCUCUAAAUACGAUUAGUAUAAUUAAAUCGCUUACUUUGCUUAGCUAUGCCAUGCUUUUAUUUGUGAGUGGAUUCGAAUAAAGUUAUUUUAUUAAGAUAGUAGUAGUAGUGAUUCUUAUGCUGAAUUAAUCUCUCUAAUGAAGCAUAUUCUUAAAUGUAAUAAUGACAGGUGAACAUAACAAUUCACUAUAAGAGCCUAUCAAAUAUAAGGCGGGUGACUUCAGACAAAGAGAAGCAAGUACUGUGUGACAUUUAGACCUGCAGGGCUAGAAUUAGAAAACAGUGGAUCUGGUGAGGCUGCCACAUUCAUAGGCAGUCCCAAGGAAAUCCUUCUUUAUUAGCUGUGCUUUGUUUCCCUCUAUUUAUAAAAGAAAAACUAACCCUAAUACAUGGGUCCACCUUCAAGGUCCCGGAUACUUGUCUGAGCAUUUUGACUUUGUCAACAGCAUGAGAGUUUUUAAUGAAAAACAAAACCCUGCUGACAUUUUGUGUGGUUUUUGUUGUUGCUUUUGUUUACUUGUUGGUUUUAGUUUUUGUGAUUCUUCAGCACUUCAGAAAUCCUUCCUUUGGAUCAGUUUCUGAAUGUGUGUUUUUCAGGUGUCCACUCAUUUAAGAAACCACUGUACAUCAAUAAU